AUGAACGCUGGCGGCGUGCCUAAUACAUGCAAGUCGCGCGAACGGACGAGAAGCUUGCUUUUCUGAUGUUAGCGGCGGACGGGUGAGUAACACGUGGAUAACCUACCUAUAAGACUGGGAUAACUUCGGGAAACCGGAGCUAAUACCGGAUAAUAUUUUGAACCGCAUGGUUCAAAAGCGAAAGACGGUCUUGCUGUCACUUAUAGAUGGAUCCGCGCUGCAUUAGCUAGUUGGUAAGGUAACGGCUUACCAAGGCAACGAUGCAUAGCCGACCUGAGAGGGUGAUCGGCCACACUGGAACUGAGACACGGUCCAGACUCCUAUGGGAGGCAGCAGUAGGGAAUCUUCCGCAAUGGGCGAAAGCCUGACGGAGCAACGCCGCGUGAGUGAUGAAGGUCUUCGGAUCGUAAAACUCUGUUAUUAGGGAAGAACAUAUGUGUAAGUAACUGUGCACAUCUUGACGGUACCUAAUCAGAAAGCCACGGCUAACUACGUG
This 496-nucleotide ribosomal RNA is filed under the name uncultured bacterium. RNAcentral describes it as "partial 16S ribosomal RNA". It matches the Rfam family "Bacterial small subunit ribosomal RNA", at positions 29 to 507 of the family's 1533-position model. The record is from RNAcentral.